UUCAGAGAAAAGCACAGAACUGCUGACAGUAUUUUUAUAUUAAAAUCUUUAAUUAAUAAAUAUAUACACAAAAAUAACAAAAAAAUAUAUGCAUGCUUCAUUGACUUAAGAAAGGCAUUUGACUCUGUAUGGAGAACAGCCCUUCUGUAUAAAUUAUGCAAAAUGGGAGUAGGAAAGUCUUUUUACAGAGUAAUAAAACAACAAUAUUUAAAUACCAAAUCCUCUUUAAAACAUAAAGAUCACAUUUCUGACUAUUUUGACAUUACUAGAGGUGUGAAACAAGGGGAUUCAUUAAGUCCUACUUUGUUCAACAUUUUUAUAAAUGAUAUCACUAAAGGUUUGGAAGAUGACAACUCAAGUCCUUUGGAGCUUAUAAAUAGUAAACUAGGCUCCCUCCUGUUUGCUGAUGAUCUGCUUUUACUAUCAGAAUCUAAGGAGGGUCUCCAAAAUAGUCUAAAUAAAGUUUCCAUGUUUUGUGAAAACUGGCAGCUUUCUCUAAACAUAAAUAAAACAAAAAGUAUGGUCUUUUCAACAACAAAGCAAAAGCCUGAAGCAUCUAUACUUGUAUAUAAAAACAAAAAAAUAGAGAAUGUUUCAGAAUAUCCUUACUU
Molecule: long non-coding RNA, 611 nt
Filed under: Mytilus galloprovincialis (Mediterranean mussel)
Lineage: Eukaryota; Metazoa; Mollusca; Bivalvia; Mytilida; Mytilidae
Source: RNAcentral